This is a long non-coding RNA of Microplitis mediator, 1123 nucleotides long. RefSeq lists it as uncharacterized. The transcript has 4 exons. NCBI's taxonomy places the organism in Eukaryota, Metazoa, Arthropoda, Insecta, Hymenoptera, Braconidae. The record is from RefSeq and is a predicted model, not a curated record.
ACAAGUUUUCCUGUUAACCGUGGAGUCGUUCUCGCCUAGUUUACCGUAGUACUCGUAUAUUAUUUAAUUAUAGUUUAUUAUUAUUAUUAUUGGGCGAUUGUAUACUACGAUUAAUAUCAUUUAAUAUUAUUAAUUUAUUGUUAUCAUUUUAUGUGUAACAAAUAUUGUGUUAGUUAUAAUUCUGUAUGUAUUAACAAUUGUGAGAUAUUAUAUUCGUUAUACCAUAUGUUUAGUUACUACUAUUUGUGAAUAAUACUUUAAUAAUAAAUUACUGUUUUGUGUAAUUAUUAUUCGGUUAUAGUUGAAAUAAAAUGCCAGACGAAAAUAAUAAACCCGAUGGAUAAGAUUGCAAUAAUCACUGCCUAAGUCGCCAACUACCAAAAAGUGAAACGUUGUGGCAGAAGAUGAGAAGAGAAAAGAUAGAAAGGGGUAUUUGUGAGGAGAGAGUCUGUAACAGGGUACAUUUUGCACUUUGGUUAAAACUAUAAAUUUGAAUUUGAAUGUUAUUUCCGCCGUUAACCGGCCAAUGACCUCGUAAGUUUCGAGUUAGGUUUGCGACUUGUCACCGGGUGUCGCAUGAUCACUAAGACCCAAACAUUCGCCACUCCCCUAGUCUAAGUUUUCGAGAGUGAACCAAAAUAGAGGGAAUGAUAAUAUAAAAAGGACUGCGGAACAUGGAAUCAUCAGUUUUUGUUCAGACGACGACAACGGCAGGACACUAAAUAAAAUUAAGGUUAAUCAGUAUCAAAUAUUACAAUAAAUAAAGAGAGAAGUCAGAGAUAACACGAGGCCAGCUAAAUUUCCGUCCACAGAGGAAAAUACACACCGACAUCCAGGUAGCAGCGGAACAACAUCAUCAGUUGCUGCAAUAAAAUUCUGGAGUGUGUAAGCUACUCGUUCCUGAAUACCGAGCCUUUUGCUCGAUAGGCAUCUUGAGGCCUGUAGCCUCUGACGUCAGGAGCUACCCCCAGCCUGUGACAAGGCUCACCCCCACUAGAGAAGGGCGAGAUGGACAUCAAGGCUGACGAAGAAGAGGCAUUCCGACGGGGCCCUCCGAGAGGACCCAACGUGACGUCAUCUAGCUACUCUCUCCCUUUCCCUUAUUAUAUUACUUAUUAUUAAC